CCUGCCGCGCCCUUCCGGCAGCUCCUGCAGCCGUAGCCCCGGCCGUGCGCCCCGUCCUUGGUGCUGCUCAGCGUGCGCACCGGGUCCCCGGGGUCCCAGAGAUGGCUUGGCCUCCUGCGGCCUCGCAGGUCCUGCCCCAGUGGCUGUGGCGCGCUGCACACCGAAGGAGACUGUUGAUAUCCUGAAUGGUGAAAUUGAGGAGGAGAGGAAAAUCCAGAAGCAUAAAACCCUCCCUAAGAUGUCUGGAGGAUGGGAGCGGCAGUUAAAUGGGACAGAAGCUAAAUUAGUGGGAAAAGCUGCCGGGGAAAGAUCGCUGUCACUUUCAACAUUAACAACAGCAUCCCACCGACACUUGAUGGCAAGGAGGAACCCUCGAAAGGGCAGCAAGUUGGAGAACAGGAGCCUGAAUUGACAUCACCUCCCAAUUUCGUGGUCCAAGUUUUGAAGAGUGGUGGCAAGAAGGCCCUUGUGCUGGACUGUCACUACCCAGAGGAUGAGGGUGGGCCAGAAGAGGAGGUUGAGAGUGACCUUUUCUCUAUCAGGGAAGUAACUUUCAGUCCAAUGGGGAGUCUCAAUGAAAGGACACUAAUUUUAUACUCAACACAGAUUUCCGGGACUCGGCCUUAUAUGACCACCUAGUGGAUUUCCUUGUGAAUGGAGGGGUGGCCAACCCUUUUGCCCAUAAGCUAAUGGAGCUCAGCACAGCCCUGGAGGAGCAGGAGUACAUGACUUUUCUUGAAGACCUCAGAAGUUCUGUCAAGAGCCAGUAG
RNAcentral lists this long non-coding RNA (770 nucleotides) under Homo sapiens (human). RNAcentral's name for it is "non-protein coding lnc-TMPRSS15-20:1". Lineage: Eukaryota; Metazoa; Chordata; Mammalia; Primates; Hominidae. The record is from RNAcentral.